AGAGUUUGAUCCUGGCUCAGGAUGAACGCUAGCGGCAGGCUUAACACAUGCAAGUCGAGGGGUAACAUUGUGCUUGCACAGAUGACGACCGGCGCACGGGUGCGUAACGCGUAUAGAACCUACCUUUUACAGAGGAAUAGCCUUUAGAAAUGAAGAUUAAUGCCUCAUAGUAUUGAGUAUUCGCAUGAAUAUUUAAUUAAAGAUUUAUCGGUAAAAGAUGGCUAUGCGUCCUAUUAGUUAGUUGGUAAGGUAACGGCUUACCAAGACAGCGAUAGGUAGGGGUCCUGAGAGGGAGAUCCCCCACACUGGUACUGAGACACGGACCAGACUCCUACGGGAGGCAGCAGUGAGGAAUAUUGGACAAUGGAGGAGACUCUGAUCCAGCCAUGCCGCGUGUAGGAAGAAUGCCCUAUGGGUUGUAAACUACUUUUAUACAGGAAGAAACACUGGUAUGUAUACCAGCUUGACGGUACUGUAAGAAUAAGGACCGGCUAACUCCGUGCCAGCAGCCGCGGUAAUACGGAGGGUCCGAGCGUUAUCCGGAAUCAUUGGGUUUAAAGGGUCCGCAGGCGGUCGAUUAAGUCAGAGGUGAAAUCCCAUAGCUCAACUAUGGAACUGCCUUUGAUACUGGUUGACUUGAGUCAUAUGGAAGUAGAUAGAAUGUGUAGUGUAGCGGUGAAAUGCAUAGAUAUUACACAGAAUACCGAUUGCGAAGGCAGUCUACUACGUAUGUACUGACGCUGAGGGACGAAAGCGUGGGGAGCGAACAGGAUUAGGUACCCUGGUAGUCCACGCCGUAAACGAUGGAUACUAG
RNAcentral lists this ribosomal RNA (814 nucleotides) under uncultured bacterium. RNAcentral's name for it is "bacterial SSU rRNA". It matches the Rfam family "Bacterial small subunit ribosomal RNA", at positions 8 to 819 of the family's 1533-position model. The record is from RNAcentral.